GAUGAACGCUGGCGGCGUGCCUAAUACAUGCAAGUCGAGCGAACAGACGAGGAGCUUUCUCCUCUGACGUUAGCGGCUGACGGGUGAGUAACACGUGGAUAACCUACCUAUAAGACUGGGAUAACUUCGGGAAACCGGAUCUACUACCGGAUAAUAUAUUGAACCGCAUGGUUCAAUAGUGAAAGACGGUUUUGCUGUCACUUAUAGAUGGAUCCGCGCCGCAUUAGCUAGUUGGUAAGGUAACGGCUUACCAAGGCAACGAUGCGUAGCCGACCUGAGAGGGUGAUCGGCCACACUGGAACUGAGACACGGUCCAGACUCCUACGGGAGGCAGCAGUAGGGAAUCUUCCGCAAUGGGCGAAAGCCUGACGGAGCAACGCCGCGUGAGUGAUGAAGGUCUUCGGAUCGUAAAACUCUGUUAUUAGGGAAGAACAAAUGUGUAAGUAACUAUGCACGUCUUGACGGUACCUAAUCAGAAAGCCACGGCUAACUACGUG
Molecule: ribosomal RNA, 497 nt
Filed under: uncultured bacterium
Lineage: Bacteria
Description: partial 16S ribosomal RNA
Rfam family: Bacterial small subunit ribosomal RNA
Source: RNAcentral